GUAUUGAUGUUAGCGGAACGCUCUGGAAAGUGCGGCCAUAGUGGGUGAUAGCCCUGUACGCGAAAAUCUCUUGUCAAUGAAAUCGAGUAGGACGGAGCACGAGAAACUUUGUCUGAAUAUGGGGGGACCAUCCUCCAAGGCUAAAUACUCCUGACUGACCGAUAGUGAACCAGUACCGUGAGGGAAAGGUGAAAAGCACCCCGACGAGGGGAGUGAAACAGUUCCUGAAACCGGAUACCUACAAACAGUAGGAGGCCAAGGUUCGUCCUGGCUGACUGCGUACCUUUUGUAUAAUG
Molecule: ribosomal RNA, 296 nt
Filed under: Chrysotila carterae
Lineage: Eukaryota; Haptophyta; Isochrysidales; Isochrysidaceae
Description: partial Bacterial large subunit ribosomal RNA
Rfam family: Bacterial large subunit ribosomal RNA
Source: RNAcentral